RNAcentral lists this ribosomal RNA (253 nucleotides) under uncultured prokaryote. RNAcentral's name for it is "partial 16S ribosomal RNA". It matches the Rfam family "Bacterial small subunit ribosomal RNA", at positions 522 to 774 of the family's 1533-position model. The record is from RNAcentral.
AAUACGGAGGGGGCGAGCGUUAUUCGGAAUUAUUGGGCGUAAAGGGCGCGUAGGCGGCGCACCAAGUCAGGUGUGAAAGCCCUGGGCUUAACCCAGGAAUUGCGUUUGAGACUGGCGUGCUGGAGUGCAGGAGAGGUCGGCGGAAUUCCCAGUGUAGAGGUGAAAUUCGUAGAGAUUGGGAAGAACACCGGUGGCGUAGGCGGCCGACUGGACUGUAACUGACGCUGAGGCGCGAAAGCGUGGGGAGCAAACA